AUACACCAUCCUAUUUAACUACUGUCUAUACACACCACCCUAUUAUAACUACUGUCUAUAAACACCACCCUAUUAUAACUACUGUCUAUAUACACCACCCUAUUAUAACUACUGUCUAUACACACCAUCCUAUUAUAACCACUGUCUAUACCCACCACCCUAUUAUAACUACUGUCUAUACACACCACCCUAUUAUAACUACUGUCUAUAUACACCAUCCUAUUUAACUACUGUCUAUACACACCACCCUAUUAUAACUACUGUCUAUAAACACCACCCUAUUAUAACUACUGUCUAUACACACCAUCCUAUUAUAACUACUGUCUAUACACACCACCCUAUUAUAACUACACUCUAUACACACCACCCUAUUAUAACUACUGUCUAUACACACCACCCUAUUAUAACUACUGUCUAUACACACCACCCUAUUAUAACUACUGUCUAUAUACACCACCCUAUUAUAACUACUGUCUAUAUACACCAUCCUAUUAUAACUACUGUCUAUACUGUCUAUACACACCACCCUAUUAUAACUACUGUCUAUACACACCACCCUAUUAUAACUACUGUCUAUACACACCAUCCUAUUAUAACUACUGUCUAUAUACACCAUCCUACAUAACUACUGUCUAUACACACCACCCUAUUAUAACUACUGUCUAUACACACCACCCUAUUAUAACUACUGUCUAUACACACCACCCUAUUAUAACUACUGUCUAUACACACCAUCCUACAUAACUACUGUCUAUACACACCAUCCUAUUAUAACUACUGUCUAUACACACCACCCUAUUAUAACUACUGUCUAUACACACCACCCUAUUAUAACUACUGUCUAUACACCACCCUAUUAUAACUACUGUCUAUACACACCACCCUGUUAUAACUACUGUCUAUACACACCACCCUAUUAUAACUACUGUCUAUACACACCAUCCUAUUAUAACUACUGUCUAUACACACCACCCUAUUAUAACUACUGUCUAUACACACCACCCUAUUAUAACUACUGUCUAUACACACCACCCUAUUAUAACUACUGUCUAUACACAUCAUCCUAUAACUACUGUCUAUACACACCAUCCUAUAUAACUACUGUCUAUACACACCACCCUAUUAUAACUACUGUCUAUAUACACCAUCCUAUUAUAACUACUGUCUAUACUGUCUAUACACACCACCCUAUUAUAACUACUGUCUAUACACACCACCCUAUUAUAACUACUGUCUAUACACACCACCCUAUUAUAACUACUGUCUAUACACACCACCCUAUUAUAACUACUGUCUAUACACACCACCCUAUUAUAACUACUGUCUAUACACACCAUCCUAUAUAACUACUGUCUAUACACACCACCCUGUUAUAACUACUGUCUAUACACACCACCCUAUUAUAACUACAGUCUAUACACACCACCCUAUUAUAACUACUGUCUAUACACACCAUCCUAUUUAACUACUGUCUAUACACACCACCCUAUUAUAACUACUGUCUAUACACACCACCCUAUUAUAACUACUGUCUAUACACACCACCCUAUUAUAACUACUGUCUAUACACCACCCUAUUAUAACUACUGUCUAUACACACCACCCUGUUAUAACUACUGUCUAUACACACCACCCUAUUAUAACUACUGUCUAUACACACCAUCCUAUUAUAACUACUGUCUAUACACACCACCCUAUUAUAACUACUGUCUAUACACACCACCCUAUUAUAACUACUGUCUAUACACACCACCCUAUUAUAACUACUGUCUAUACACAUCAUCCUAUAUAACUACUGUCUAUACACACCACCCUAUUAUAACUACUGUCUAUACACACCAUCCUAUAUAACUACUGUCUAUACACACCACCCUGUUAUAACUACUGUCUAUACACACCACCCUAUUAUAACUACUGUCUAUACACACCAUCCUAUUUAACUACUGUCUAUACACACCACCCUAUUAUAACUACUGUCUAUACACACCAUCCUAUUUAACUACUGUCUAUACACACCAUCCUAUUUAACUACUGUCUAUACACACCACCCUAUUAUAACUACUGUCUAUACACACCAUCCUAUUUAACUACUGUCUAUACACACCACCCUGUUAUAACUACACUCUAUACACACCACCCUAUUAUAACUACUGUCUAUACACACCACCCUAUUAUAACUACUGUCUAUACACACCAUCCUAUUUAACUACUGUCUAUACACACCAUCCUAUUUAACUACUGUCUAUACACACCAUCCUAUAUAACUAUUGCUGUACACACCUUUUCUAUUCAUAUACUGUCCAUAAUAUUUAUACACACCAUCAUAUAUACUGAACGAAAAUAUAAACACCAUAUGUAACAAUUUAAAAGAUCUCUCUAAAACGAAUUUGGAGGCGGUUUAUGGUAGAGAAAUUAACAUGACAUUAUCUGGCAACAGCUCUGGUGGACAUUCCUGCAGUCAACAUGCCUACUGCACACGCCCUCAAAACAUGAGGCAUUGUGUUGUGUGACAAAACUGCACAUAUUAAAGUGGCCUUUUAUUGUUCUCAGCACAAGGUGCACCUGUGUACCGAUCAUGCUGUUUAAUCAUCUUUUUGAUAUGCCACACCUGUCAGGUGGAUGGAUUAUCUUGGCAGAGUAAUGCUCUCUAAGAGGGAUGUAAAGAAAGUUGUGCACAACAUUUGAGAGAAAUAAGCUUUUUGUGUGUAUGGAACAUUUCUGGUAUCUUUUAUUUCAGCUCAUGAAACAUGGGACCAACACUUUACAUGUAUAUUUUUGCUCAGUAUAAUACACCACAUGGAGUGCAUAUGAUAAUAUAAUGCUUUACUCUGAUAUUGCUCGCUCUGAUGUUGCUCAUUCGUCUUGUUUGCUUGUUGGAUUAUGUGUAUAUUGUUAUUGUAUUGCUGGUUAUUACUGUACUAGUGGAGCUAGAAACAUAAUCAUUUCACCUGCCAUGACAUCUGUGUGUGUGACCAAUAAACUUUGAUUUGAUUAUUGAAGAUAUUUUGAUAUGCAGCCUAAUCCAGUAAUUGUCCUUAUUUUAAGAUUGACAAUUCGACUAUAGUUGCUAUCAAUAUAAGACUUAAUAAGAAGUUUUUUUGUUCAGUAGAGAUUAAUUAAAUACAUCUGAUUUCACAAAUUUCAUGAAUUUAGGGUUCAACAUCUGAGGAGAUGGAAACACAACACACAUGAACUAGAUCAUUGACUCUAAGUAUAAUACCCACUGCUAGUA
Oncorhynchus mykiss (rainbow trout) is the source of this 3232-nucleotide long non-coding RNA. The record is from Ensembl. Lineage: Eukaryota; Metazoa; Chordata; Actinopteri; Salmoniformes; Salmonidae.